CAGGGCAUAGAGUAAUCUGCACCGUCCUCAAGUACCCCAGGAAAGGAUCCUGCUCAUUCCCAUCUCUGGAGGACAGAUCUCUACUAUCUACAGAGAAUUAGGAUAAUGGAAGCAGCAGUAAUUUCCAGGAAGAUUAGCCCUGAGCUAACUGCUGCUAAUCCUCCUCAUUUCUCUGAGGAAGCCUGGUCCUGAGCUAACAUCCGUGCCCAUCUCCCUCUACUUUAUACGUGGGACGCCUACCACAGGAUGGCAUGCCAAGCAGUGCCAUGUCCACACCCGGGAUCCGAACCAGCGAACCCCGGGCCUCCGAAGCAGAACGUGUGCAUUUAACUACUGCGCCACCAGGCCAGCACUAUUUAUAAUUUUUUAAAGAAAGGGAAGAGGAACCAGUACAAUCAAGGUCCAUUCUGAAUUCCAGCAGAAGAAUCGGGCAGAGGCUUUAGUGUUCAUAGCUGCAUUACUAUUGUAUUUCUUCAAUUCUAAGAUGCACAUUUUGUGGCAUUGUAAUGUUUCUAAAAUUGGGAUUGCAUCUUCUAAUCAAUGUACAAUUUAAUAUAGGAGGUUUUACCUCCUAGAAACAUCUUAUUAAAACAAAGAUAUGUCUUAAACUUGAUUGUGUCCCAGAAUCGAGGAAAUAAAGUAAUUAUGCUGCUGCCAUAGCAGACAUGACAGUUUUAAGACAAGAAUAGGUAAGCAACUAGGGAGUAGAGGCCAGGCCUUAGCAAAGCCACCAUGAUGGUCAUAACCUUAAAAGAUCAUGAGUUUUCUAUUAAUAGCUUCAUUGCCCCCAAGCCUCUGAAGCCUGUGGAUACAAGUAAGUCAAACUGCUUGGGCCCCACAUUUUGCUGGUUCUAAACCCUCAGUGCCGAAGCUUCAAGACUUCAGCCCCCGACCCCAGGUCUCCCCAGUGACUUCUGGGAAUCCUCUAUGCUCAGGGCCAGCCCUUCCAUUUGCUUCAGCUCUGUCCUUUCUGCAGAUGCCCUCUCUGUUCCCAGUGUAUCUCCUGGUACUAAAAAUCUGUGCAUCCUCCAGAUGUAAUUUCUUGCUAAAUCUUCAUGCUGAGUUAAG
RNAcentral lists this long non-coding RNA (1068 nucleotides) under Equus caballus (horse). RNAcentral's name for it is "lncRNA (ENSECAG00000045029.1)". The record is from RNAcentral. Lineage: Eukaryota; Metazoa; Chordata; Mammalia; Perissodactyla; Equidae.